Spea bombifrons (plains spadefoot toad) is the source of this 280-nucleotide long non-coding RNA. RefSeq lists it as uncharacterized. Lineage: Eukaryota; Metazoa; Chordata; Amphibia; Anura; Pelobatidae. The transcript is spliced from 2 exons. The record is from RefSeq and is a predicted model, not a curated record.
UCCUCACCAAAAAUCCACCACAGCUUUCAGAAAGAUGAAAGUACCGGAAUAUAAAAUUUAGAUGCAUUUUAUUAAUGCUGUCUUGUAGUUAAACAGGCGACGUUCCGUCAGUGUUUCCGAACCCUGAUCUCUUUUCCGUAAUUGCCUCCGGCGUUUGCAUGUACGUAGUUGAAACGCGGACGUUGGUUGGUAGAUAUCUGCUUCUUGACAUUUCCUGUCUGGUUAAGGUGAUUUCCUGUGCCUUGCUGGUCCGCCAUUUUAAUUACAGUUCCUGGGGGGG